This 174-nucleotide transfer RNA is filed under the name Candidatus Woesearchaeota archaeon. Its description in RNAcentral is "tRNA-Ser". Lineage: Archaea; Nanobdellati; Candidatus Woesearchaeota. The record is from RNAcentral.
GCCAACGUGGCACAACUCGGUACUGCGCAAGCCUGGAAAGCUUGUUUCCGCAAGGAUAUCCCGGAAACUUUGGUAAAGUUUCAUCAAAGCUCAAGCGGGGUAUUGCUUCGCAAACCCCGCGAAUGGAGAACGAAAUCUAGACCAAGUUGGGAAAUUCAAAUCCGGGCGUUGGCG